Molecule: ribosomal RNA, 402 nt
Filed under: uncultured prokaryote
Description: bacterial SSU rRNA
Rfam family: Bacterial small subunit ribosomal RNA
Source: RNAcentral
UAGGGAAUAUUAGUAAUGGGCGAAAGCCUGAACUAGCAACACCGCGUGUGCGAAGAAGGCCUUCGGGUUGUAAAGCACUUUUUGGAAGGAAUAGGAAGGAAUGUACUUCCAGAAUAAGUCUCGGCUAACUACGUGCCAGCAGCCGCGGUAACACGUAGGAGGCAAACGUUAUCCGGAUUUACUGGGCGUAAAGCGCGUGUAGGUGGUACUGUAAGUAGGGCGUGAAAGCUCCUGGCUCAACUGGGAGAGGCCGUUCUAAACUACAGAACUAGAGGAUGGUAGAGGGAGGUGGAAUUCCAGGUGUAGCGGUGGAAUGCGCAGAUAUCUGGAGGAACACCGGUGGCGAAGGCGGCCUCCUGGACCAUUCCUGACACUCAGACGCGAAAGCUAGGGUAGCAAACG